RNAcentral lists this non-coding RNA (114 nucleotides) under Pseudo-nitzschia fraudulenta. Lineage: Eukaryota; Bacillariophyta; Bacillariophyceae; Bacillariales; Bacillariaceae. The record is from RNAcentral.
UCAAAGCAGCGGAUAAACGAAUGGUAGAAAUAUGCUAGAAUACAGCAUACACUGUUGUCGUAAAUUUUCAUUCGUUUUUUCUUUUUUAUUGUUUUUCGUUUCUCCUUCAUACGU